GAUGAACGCUGGCGGCGUGCCUAAUACAUGCAAGUCGAGCGAACGGACGAGAAGCUUGCUUCUCUGAUGUUAGCGGCGGACGGGUGAGUAACACGUGGAUAACCUACCUAUAAGACUGGGAUAACUUCGGGAAACCGGAGCUAAUACCGGAUAAUAUUUUGAACCGCAUGGUUCAAAAGUGAAAGACGGUCUUGCUGUCACUUAUAGAUGGAUCCGCGCUGCAUUAGCUAGUUGGUAAGGUAACGGCUUACCAAGGCAACGAUGCAUAGCCGACCUGAGAGGGUGAUCGGCCACACUGGAACUGAGACACGGUGCAGACUCCUACGGGAGGCAGCAGUAGGGAAUCUUCCGCGAUGGGCGAAAGCCUGACGGAGCAACGCCGCGUGAGUGAUGAAGGUCUUCGGAUCGUAAAACUCUGUUAUUAGGGAAGAACAUAUGUGUAAGUAACUGUGCACAUCUUGACGGUACCUAAUCAGAAAGCCACGGCUAACUACGUG
RNAcentral lists this ribosomal RNA (497 nucleotides) under uncultured bacterium. RNAcentral describes it as "partial 16S ribosomal RNA". It matches the Rfam family "Bacterial small subunit ribosomal RNA", at positions 28 to 507 of the family's 1533-position model. The record is from RNAcentral.